This 253-nucleotide ribosomal RNA is filed under the name uncultured bacterium. RNAcentral describes it as "partial 16S ribosomal RNA". It matches the Rfam family "Bacterial small subunit ribosomal RNA", at positions 524 to 776 of the family's 1533-position model. The record is from RNAcentral.
UACGGAGGUCCCAAGCGUUGUUCGGAUUCACUGGGCGUAAAGGGUGCGUAGGCGGUCGGGAAAGUUUGAUGUGAAAGCUCCGGGCUCAACCUGGAAAAUGCAUUGAAAACUAUCCGACUAGAGGAUUGUAAGGGAGACUGGAAUUCUCGGUGUAGCAGUGAAAUGCGUAGAUAUCGAGAGGAACACCAGUGGCGAAGGCGAGUCUCUGGACAAUUCCUGACGCUGAGGCACGAAAGCUAGGGGAGCAAACAGG